UGUUAAAAAUUGUAUCCAUUUCUACUGUUAAAAACUUAUGCGGCUAAUAAAAUAAUCAAACAGUUACGUGGUGUGUCACGUGUACCUUACUCUAACAUAUAUGGACCAGUUUUAAAUUGUAGAAAUAAAUAGAAUUUUUCAUA
Molecule: non-coding RNA, 143 nt
Organism: Gossypium hirsutum (cotton)
Lineage: Eukaryota; Viridiplantae; Streptophyta; Magnoliopsida; Malvales; Malvaceae
Source: Rfam